AAGGAUCAUUAUCGAAUAAACUUGAGCAGGCUGUUGCUGGUCUCCAGGGACAUGUGCACGCUUGUCAUCUUUAUCAUUUCUCCAACUGUGCACAUAUUGUAGACCCCUGGAGGUUUUGCCUUUGGAUUCGUUUCCGAGUUUUGGGACUGCUGUGCCUCGAAGAAAGAGAGGUCGGCUUUCCCUUUGCAUCCUCCCAGGUCUAUGUCAUUUUUCACGACCCCUCGAACGUGUUUAGAAUGUUGAAUAAAUGUAAAGUUAUAAAUACAACUUUCAGCAACGGAUCUCUUGGCUCUC
RNAcentral lists this unclassified non-coding RNA (294 nucleotides) under uncultured fungus. RNAcentral describes it as "partial contains 18S rRNA, ITS1, 5.8S rRNA, ITS2 and 28S rRNA". Lineage: Eukaryota; Fungi. The record is from RNAcentral.